GAUGAACGCUGGCGGCGUGCCUAAUACAUGCAAGUCGAGCGAACGGACGAGAAGCUUGCUUCUCUGAUGUUAGCGGCGGACGGGUGAGUAACACGUGGAUAACCUACCUAUAAGACUGGGAUAACUUCGGGAAACCGGAGCUAAUACCGGAUAAUAUUUUGAACCGCAUGGUUCAAAAGUGAAAGACGGUCUUGCUGUCACUUAUAGAUGGAUCCGCGCUGCAUUAGCUAGUUGGUAAGGUAACGGCUUACCAAGGCAACGAUGCAUAGCCGACCUGAGAGGGUGAUCGGCCACACUGGAACUGAGACACGGUCCAGACUCCUACGGGAGGCAGCAGUAGGGAAUCUUCCGCAAUGGGCGAAAGCCUGACGGAGCAACGCCGCGUGAGUGAUGAAGGUCUUCGGAUCGUAAAACUCUGUUAUUAGGGAAGAACAUAUGUGUAAGUAACUGUGCACAUCUUGACGGUACCUAAUCAGAAAGCCACGGCUAACUACGUGCCAGCAGCCGCGGUAAUACGUAGGUGGCAAGCGUUAUCCGGAAUUAUUGGGCGUAAAGCGCGCGUAGGCGGUUUUUUAAGUCUGAUGUGAAAGCCCACGGUUCAACCGUGGAGGGUCAUUGGAAACUGGAAAACUUGAGUGCAGAAGAGGAAAGUGGAAUUCCAUGUGUAGCGGUGAAAUGCGCAGAGAUAUGGAGGAACACCAGUGGCGAAGGCGACUUUCUGGUCUGUAACUGACGCUGAUGUGCGAAAGCGUGGGGAUCAAACAGGAUUAGAUACCCUGGUAGUCCACGCCGUAAACGAUGAGUGCUAAGUGUUAGGGGGUUUCCGCCCCUUAGUGCUGCAGCUAACGCAUUAAGCACUCCGCCUGGGGAGUACGACCGCAAGGUUGAAACUCAAAGGAAUUGACGGGGACCCGCACAAGCGGUGGAGCAUGUGGUUUAAUUCGAAGCAACGCGAAGAACCUUACCAAAUCUUGACAUCCUUUGACAACUCUAGAGAUAGAGCCUUCCCCUUCGGGGGACAAAGUGACAGGUGGUGCAUGGUUGUCGUCAGCUCGUGUCGUGAGAUGUUGGGUUAAGUCCCGCAACGAGCGCAACCCUUAAGCUUAGUUGCCAUCAUUAAGUUGGGCACUCUAAGUUGACUGCCGGUGACAAACCGGAGGAAGGUGGGGAUGACGUCAAAUCAUCAUGCCCCUUAUGAUUUGGGCUACACACGUGCUACAAUGGACAAUACAAAGGGCAGCGAAACCGCGAGGUCAAGCAAAUCCCAUAAAGUUGUUCUCAGUUCGGAUUGUAGUCUGCAACUCGACUACAUGAAGCUGGAAUCGCUAGUAAUCGUAGAUCAGCAUGCUACGGUGAAUACGUUCCCGGGUCU
This 1372-nucleotide ribosomal RNA is filed under the name uncultured bacterium. RNAcentral's name for it is "bacterial SSU rRNA". It matches the Rfam family "Bacterial small subunit ribosomal RNA", at positions 28 to 1381 of the family's 1533-position model. The record is from RNAcentral.